RNAcentral lists this ribosomal RNA (497 nucleotides) under uncultured bacterium. RNAcentral's name for it is "partial 16S ribosomal RNA". It matches the Rfam family "Bacterial small subunit ribosomal RNA", at positions 28 to 507 of the family's 1533-position model. The record is from RNAcentral.
GAUGAACGCUGGCGGCGUGCCUAAUACAUGCAAGUCGAGCGAACAGACGAGGAGCUUGCUCCUCUGACGUUAGCGGCGGACGGGUGAGUAACACGUGGAUAACCUACCUAUAAGACUGGGAUAACUUCGGGAAACCGGAGCUAAUACCGGAUAAUAUAUUGAACCGCAUGGUUCAAUAGUGAAAGACGGUUUUGCUGUCACUUAUAGAUGGAUCCGCGCCGCAUUAGCUAGUUGGUAAGGUAACAGCUUACCAAGGCAACGAUGCGUAGCCGACCUGAGAGGGUGAUCGGCCACACUGGAACUGAGACACGGUCCAGACUCCUACGGGAGGCAGCAGUAGGGAAUCUCCCGCAAUGGGCGAAAGCCUGACGGAGCAACGCCGCGUGAGUGAUGAAGGUCUUCGGAUCGUAAAACUCUGUUAUUAGGGAAGAACAAAUGUGUAAGUAACUAUGCACGUCUUGACGGUACCUAAUCAGAAAGCCACGGCUAACUACGUG